This 45-nucleotide non-coding RNA is filed under the name Schistosoma margrebowiei. The record is from RNAcentral. Lineage: Eukaryota; Metazoa; Platyhelminthes; Trematoda; Strigeidida; Schistosomatidae.
AUUCAGCUGAAGAGUCUCAAAUAACACGAAACGCGCGUUCUAGAU